GCAAGAAGAGUUGUUAGUGGUGUGCUCAC
Molecule: non-coding RNA, 29 nt
Filed under: Rattus norvegicus (Norway rat)
Lineage: Eukaryota; Metazoa; Chordata; Mammalia; Rodentia; Muridae
Source: RNAcentral